Molecule: small RNA, 599 nt
Filed under: Marasmius sp. 7031007
Lineage: Eukaryota; Fungi; Basidiomycota; Agaricomycetes; Agaricales; Marasmiaceae
Description: eukaryotic LSU rRNA
Rfam family: Eukaryotic large subunit ribosomal RNA
Source: RNAcentral
GGAUUCCCCUAGUAACUGCGAGUGAAGAGGGAAAAGCUCAAAUUUAAAAUCUGGCAGCUUCGCUGUCCGAGUUGUAAUUUAGAGAAGCGUUGCCCGUGCUGGACCGUGUACAAGUCUCCUGGAAUGGAGCGUCAUAGAGGGUGAGAAUCCCGUCUUUGACACGGACUACCAGUGCAUUGUGGUGCGCUCUCAAAGAGUCGUGUUGUUUGGGAAUGCAGCACUAAAUGGGUGGUAAAUUCCAUCUAAAGCUAAAUAUUGGCGAGAGACCGAUAGCAAACAAGUACCGUGAGGGAAAGAUGAAAAGAACUUUGGAAAGAGAGUUAAACAGUACGUGAAAUUGUUGAAAGGGAAACGCUUAAAGUCCAGUCGCGUCGGCUGGGAAUCAGUCUUGCUUCUGCUUGAUGUACUUCCUAGUCGACGGGUCAGCAUCAGUUUUGACUGUUGGAUAAAGGCCAAGGGAAUGUGGCUCCCCCGGGAGUGUUAUAGCCCUUGGUUGUAUACAACGGUUGGGACUGAGGAACUCAGCACGCCGCAAGGCCGGGUCUCGUACCACGUUCGUGCUUAGGAUGCUGGCAUAAUGGCUUUAAUCGACCCGUCUG